AUGUCAGCUGGGAGGCAACCUUACCCCUGGUUGGGAACCACUGGCUUAAAGGGAGAUGUUUUUCCCACCCUCUCAGCCCAGAGAGGCUGCUCCCCAGUCAUCCUGCGGUUCCCCGUCUGGGGAGAUUACAUUGUCCACUCUCAUGCAAUGACGCGUCCCUUCUCAGACGCCACUUCCCGGGGGCUGGAGGAAACGCCCAGCCACCUUUAUCACUGCCAAGGAACAUGGGGGCCCACAAGAGGACACAGGGUGCAGUCUGUUCGGCCCAGGGCGCCGUUGCUUUGGGAAAACUCUCCGGAAGCUCCGUCUGAAACCUCUGCCUCAAAACCACGUCGUCCAGGAGGGCAUUCCGGAGGCUCAUUUUUAACAGGCAGGAGAAAGCAGCACAACGGAAGGCACACUCCGUACCCAAGGCAUUGAACGUACGGAUCAAACAAUAAAAUGUGCUUAUUCUUCCAGUGUAAGGAGAGGAAUCGUGCUUUCAUCCCGAGGUCGGGGACCAUCCCCCUCCCCCUCCAGGGCUGCUGUGCAGGCAGCCCGUUUUCUGGGCUCCUCGGCGGGGCGGGGCGGGGAGCGGAGCGGAGCCACGCCCCCGAGCCACGCCCCCCGCCCCCGAGUCCCUGGCUGGGGGAGGGGAGGCACAGUUGAGCCUCGGAGGAAGGCAGCGCUCUCCUCGCUGACUUGCUUUCUUACUCUCACUAAAUAAUUAGGUCUGGGGUGGAUUUGUUUUUAUUUUGUAAGAAUUAUAGAGGAUGAAGCGUUUCUCUGGAACUACCCUUCCUCACACCCAAGCAGCUGAUGGAUGGAGCUGCAUACACACGGCAAAACGUUAACGGCGGUCAUCUCCACAGGGGGACAUUGACCCUUACCCAAGGGUCGUUUCCGUGAAAUAAAAUGCACCCAUUUGAAAAGAACAGGUUGAUGAGUCCUGGCGAAGGUCUACACCCGGGUAACCACCAGCCCAAUCAAGAUAUCGAUAGAGAACAUUCCCACAGCCCCAGAGAAGUUUCCUGUGCUCCUUUGUACUCCAUCCCAGCCACCCACUUCCGGACCCAGGCAACCCCGGAUCUGCCUUCUGUCACUAUAGAUAGUUUUACCCCUGCUUGAACUUCAUAUAAAUAGACUCAAAAGAUAAAUCCUCCUUCGGAUCUGACCUCUUUGACUCAGCACGGCAAUUUCUGUGAUCCGUCCAUGCGGGUGCACGCACUGCGGUCUGUUCCUAUCUGGGCUGAUAAAUACACUCAUUACGUGGCUCUAACACUUAGGGGUAAAUAUUGUUUUCUUCUUUCCGCCUCUCUUCCCACCCACCAAGGCCAAAUUUCCUACAAUGAACGUCUCUUAAUUUGUUUUACUUCUUUUUUUUUAUUAUUUAUUUACUUUUGUCUUUUUAGGGUCACACCCAUGGCAUAUGGAGGUUCCCAGGCUAAGGGUCCAAUUGCACCUGUAGCUGCCGGCCUACACCCCAGCCACAGCAACGCCAGAUCUGAGCUGCAUCUGCAAUCUGCUCCACAGCUCACGGCAACACCGGUUCCUUAAUCCACUGAACGGGGGCAGGGAUCGAACCUGCAUCCUCAUGGAUACUAGUUGGGUUCAUUGCCGCUGAGGCACAACAAGAGCUCCUUGUUUGAUAUUUUAAGAAGAUAAAUGCCAUUCUUUUUUUUUUUUUUUUUUUUUUUU
RNAcentral lists this long non-coding RNA (1677 nucleotides) under Sus scrofa (pig). Its description in RNAcentral is "lncRNA (ENSSSCG00045003363.1)". The record is from RNAcentral. Lineage: Eukaryota; Metazoa; Chordata; Mammalia; Artiodactyla; Suidae.